CCCAAAGGAACUGGAGGGGAGAAGCGGAGGAUGUCUGUGCGCAUCGCACAGACCCUCACCAGCUGCCAGAGAGGAUCCAGGCCCCCUGCAGCGCUGCAAGGAAUUUGGAUUUUAGUGCGCUAUGUGCGCAACCUCCGCUACUUCCCUUCACUUCUACCUGCCCCACCAGGGGUUAAUAUAUCAACAGAAGAAAAACGGGGCAAAUAAGCACCACUGGGUUAAUACUCAUGAUUACAGUUUCUGGAUGCUUCAAUCUACAUCUUCCAAGUUUCGUCAAUUGAUCGUGAUGCGUUUUUUUCUUCAUGGAUGCAAAGAAAGGAAGUUUUUCUGUCAGAGAAUGUAUUUCUAAGUAUUGUUGUUUACUGAUUGGUGGAUGGAUUUCUUCAGUAAAAAAAGCAAAAAAACAGAUUAACUUUAAUUCCUGCACGAAAUUUUUAAUAAAAUUUGACUUUACGUCAUUACAUUA
Spea bombifrons (plains spadefoot toad) is the source of this 466-nucleotide long non-coding RNA. RefSeq lists it as uncharacterized. Lineage: Eukaryota; Metazoa; Chordata; Amphibia; Anura; Pelobatidae. The record is from RefSeq and is a predicted model, not a curated record. The transcript has 2 exons.